UGGGGAAUAUUGCACAAUGGGGGGAACCCUGAUGCAGCGACGCCGCGUGAGGGAAGAAGGUUUUUGGAUUGUAAACCUCUGUCCUUGGUAAAGAAGCAAGACGGUAGCCAAGGAGGAAGCCACGGCUAACUACGUGCCAGCAGCCGCGGUAAUACGUAGGUGGCAAGCGUUGUCCGGAAUUACUGGGUGUAAAGGGAGCGUAGGCGGUUAUGCAAGUUGAAUGUGAAAUCUAUCGGCUCAACUGAUAGGCUGCGUUCAAAACUGUAUAUCUUGAGUGAAGUAGAGGCAGGCGGAAUUCCUAGU
RNAcentral lists this ribosomal RNA (303 nucleotides) under uncultured bacterium. RNAcentral describes it as "bacterial SSU rRNA". It matches the Rfam family "Bacterial small subunit ribosomal RNA", at positions 355 to 674 of the family's 1533-position model. The record is from RNAcentral.